UGGUUCUGGCAUCGAUGAAGAACGCAGCGAAAUGCGAUAAGUAAUGUGAAUUGCAGAAUUUAGUGAAUCAUCGAAUCUUUGAACGCACAUUGCGCCCUUUGGUAUUCCGAGGGGCAUGCCUGUUCGAGCGUCAUUACAACCCUCAAGCUCUGCUUGGUAUUCAGCACUGUCUCCGUGGCAGGUUGUAAAAGUAGUGGCGGCCGGUAGCUGGCUCCAAGCGUAGUAAAUCUCUCGCUACGGGACCUGCUAUCGACCUGCUAUUUGACCUGCUAGCAGGUCUUUUUAUACAGGUUGACCUCGGAUCAGGUAGGGAUACCCGCUGA
This 323-nucleotide unclassified non-coding RNA is filed under the name uncultured fungus. RNAcentral describes it as "partial contains 5.8S ribosomal RNA and internal transcribed spacer 2". The stretch from base 1 to 133 matches the Rfam family "5.8S ribosomal RNA", at positions 22 to 154 of the family's 154-position model. Lineage: Eukaryota; Fungi. The record is from RNAcentral.